CUUUAAAAUAGCGUCACAGCUUAAAUAUNNNNCCUCAUUUNNUACUAAUUUCAAAAACAAUUUCUAACCCUUUAUUUNUUAUCAGACUAAUCUAUANNAAAUUAUAGAAUUAACAAUGUUAAAACUAGUAUCAAGAAGUAAACCCUUCUCUUUAAUGUAAGUGUAAGACAGAAAGGAUAAACCUCUGUCAAUUAACAUUUAUGAUUUUAAAUAAGUAACGUAANCAAGAAAACCCUUAUACNUAACAAUGUUAAACUAACACAAGAACAUUUCAAGAAAGAUUCAAAAAAAAAGAAGGAACUCGGCAAACCAAAACCCCGCCUGUUUACCAAAAACAUNCGCCUCUUGANGNNUAAAAUAAGAGGUCCAGCCUGCCCAGUGAAAUUNNGUUCAACGGCCGCGGUAUCCUAACCGUGCGAAGGUAGCGUAAUCACUUGUUCUUUAAAUGAGGACUAGUAUGAAUGGCACCACGAGGGUUCUACUGUCUCCUUUUUUAAAUCAGUGNNAAACUAAUCUCCCCGUGAAGAAGCGGGGAUUUUUUUAUAAGACGAGAAGACCCUAUGGAGCUUUAAACAAACNAUCAUUUGCUGCAUNANUANACANCUUUACNNNNNCUUCAUUANNNNNNNNNAAUAUAGCAUUAUGACCUNUUAGUUUUUGAUUGGGGUGAUCACGGAGUAAAAUGAAACCUCCACGCCGAAAGGGNNUUUGUACCCUGAGCAAAANAGCCACAACUUUAAGCACUAAAAAANUUAACGUANGUUUGACCCAAUANUUUUGAUCAACGAACCAAGUUACCNCUAGGGAUAACAGCGCAAUCCACUUCAAGAGNCUCCUAUCGACAAGUGGGUUUACGACCUCGAUGUUGGAUCAGGGUAUCCUAGUGGUGCAGCCGCUACUAAUGNGUUCGUUUGUUCAACGAUUAAAACCCUACGUGAUCUGAGUUCNAGACCGGAGUAAUCCAGGUCAGUUUCUAUCUAUANAAGGGNCUUUUUCUAGUACGAAAGGACCGAAAAAGCAUGGCCAAUAAAAUAUUUAAGCCAUNACUUAUUNNAUUUAUGAUUAAAACUAAAUUAAUAAAUGACCUAUUAUUNNUGUCUCGACAACAGAGAAGUUAACGUAGCAUAACCUGGUUUUGCUA
This 1141-nucleotide ribosomal RNA is filed under the name Boana appendiculata. Its description in RNAcentral is "partial large subunit ribosomal RNA". It matches the Rfam family "Bacterial large subunit ribosomal RNA", at positions 1122 to 2925 of the family's 2925-position model. The record is from RNAcentral. Lineage: Eukaryota; Metazoa; Chordata; Amphibia; Anura; Hylidae.